GGAGUCGGCCAGGCGAUCGCUGCAUUUCUAACCAGAUGUAGAGGAAAGUCCGGGCUCCUUCGGAUACGGCGCCAGGUAACACCUGGGGGGCGCGAGCCCACGGAAAGUGCAACAGAAAGAUACCGCCGACGCGCGAACUCCCCUCGUGGGAGGGAUCGCAGGUAAGGGUGAAAUGGUGCGGUAAGAGCGCACCGCGCAGGUGGUAACACCUGUGGCACGGCAAACCCCGCCGGGAGCAAGGCCAAAUAGGGAAGUCGCAGGGAAACCUGCAGCGCGGUGUCCGAGCGUGACUUUCGGGUAGGCUGCUUGAGGCAUUCGGUGACGAAUGUCCCAGAGGAAUGAUCGUCCACGACAGAACCCGGCUUAUCGGCCGACUCCCCCU
Molecule: RNase P RNA, 382 nt
Filed under: Gammaproteobacteria bacterium
Lineage: Bacteria; Pseudomonadati; Pseudomonadota; Gammaproteobacteria
Description: RNase P RNA component class A
Rfam family: Bacterial RNase P class A
About the family: Ribonuclease P (RNase P) is a ubiquitous endoribonuclease, found in archaea, bacteria and eukarya as well as chloroplasts and mitochondria. Its best characterised activity is the generation of mature 5'-ends of tRNAs by cleaving the 5'-leader elements of precursor-tRNAs. Cellular RNase Ps are ribonucleoproteins.
Source: RNAcentral